AACUUAGCUUGCUUUCUUUGCUGGCGACCGGCGCACGGGUGAGUAACACGUAUCCAACCUACCCUUUACUCGGGGAUAGCCUUUCGAAAGAAAGAUUAAUACCCGAUAGCAUAAUGAUUCCGCAUGGUUUCAUUAUUAAAGGAUUCCGGUAAAGGAUGGGGAUGCGUUCCAUUAGGUUGUUGGUGGGGUAACGGCCCACCAAGCCUUCGAUGGAUAGGGGUUCUGAGAGGAAGGUCCCCCACAUUGGAACUGAGACACGGUCCAAACUCCUACGGGAGGCAGCAUG
This 286-nucleotide ribosomal RNA is filed under the name uncultured bacterium. RNAcentral describes it as "partial 16S ribosomal RNA". It matches the Rfam family "Bacterial small subunit ribosomal RNA", at positions 72 to 353 of the family's 1533-position model. The record is from RNAcentral.